UGUCUCUACAGCUACCAAUUGUGCCUCUUGAUUUUUAAAUUCCUGAUUCAUCUCCUUAUAUUCCUUUAUCUCACAACUCUCCAUUUCCCAGCCUAAUUCCUUCCAUGGCCCUAAAACCUUCCCACUUGCUCAGCCCCACCCCAUCAAUUAGUGUCGUCCAAUCAAUUCGUGGGAAAAAUAAAAUAUCGAUCAUUCCAAAAUACGCUCUUGCCUCUCUUCUUCUCCAAGCGCCUCUGAUUCUACACUCACGAGUAGCCACCGCUCCUCCACUUCCUCUUCCUUUUGUGAGAACUCUCAACUCUGCCCGACCGUUCUACCAACUAGUCUGCCCAACAGGUUUGCCGAUCAACGUUCGUAAUGUCCUUCAACAAUCUAGUAAUUCUGACUCCGAUGCUCAGUCCCGGUAGCAAUCUAUCGAAGUGGUGGCGGGCACAUAAGGCUGGGAGUAUACAAAUAAUAAGGGUAGAAGCAUCAAAUUUGGCCUUAUUGUGAGAAAAAGAUUAAGGAGGGCUUUAUUAACAGGGUAAGUUCUUCAAUCAUCUAUUAUUUUUGGAUUCCUUCAUGUUCUCUUUCUUUUGGCUCAUUUAGUGCAAUCGUCAAAUAAUUUCUUGAAUAUCUUUUCCUAAUAUAAAUCGGAGUUGUCUAUAUUCCAAUUUUCUUAUGUCCAUUCUCCUAACCAUUGAAUUUGAGACUCUGCAUUUUAGAAUGGUUGGCUAUGGAGAUUUCUUAAGUUUUCUUACUUCCGUGCUUCUGAUCCUGUACAUGAUGGAAUAUGCCAACACUACAAGCUAGGUUUUCAUUUCGGACGUAAUCGGAGGCCCAGAGACUAUAGAGUUCUCCCAAAACCAAGUGAUGCCUCUUGCGCUGUUUAUGUACUAAGCGUGAAAAAUGGAAUCACUCCUGAAAGUUUGAUAAAUGAUGGUAGAGUGACUACUAUUGCUCUUAUUUUGCCAAUUACAAAGUGAAGUGAUUGCCAAGUGAAAAUCCUUUGGUUACGCAAAUAGGUAAGUUCACUCUAUUUCAUGUACCAUUUUCUGCUAUUGUCAGAAAGCAUAUACUUUUAACAUCAAUUAUCAAUCUCUAAUGUUACAUCCAGAGGCUCAACACAUAUGGGAUCUUUCCAUUUCCAUAGCUUAAGGAAGAGGCUGAUAAGGAAGCAACCCUAUCGUUUCUUGCACUUCAGCAAAUAGUGUGAUUUGCCUUAUGUUAUUAUCUUACAUGCUCCGUGAUUUUUAUAAACCAGGAUUGUCUGAUUUUUCAGCCCCUUUUUUUCUCAAUUUGGAGGGACUAUUAUGAAACUAUAGUAACCUCUUCCCUUUAAUCUUUAUUAUUAUUAUUAGAAGUAGAAAUGAUUAACAAGUUGAUGGUGAUUGGAUUGUCGGAUGCCUUGGUGAUCACAAAUCUUUCUGUGACGUUGUCUUUCCAAUGUAAUUUACAAUUUUUUUUUCUCCCAAAAAUAGAUUGUACUUGCACUUAUACCGGAGGCUAGCUGCUCAUUCUAGAUCUUCCCAUUUACAAGGAAGAUCCCGAGUUCCAUCUGGCUUAGUAUCGAGGUGAUUCUCUUUCUAUUCCUACAUAUAUCAGUCCUCGCAUCAUUUCUACGGUAUCUUUAUAUUCAAUUAAUGGACCUUGGCCUAAAAAUAUUUCUUGCCUCUAUCAGAUCAUUAGUUCGAGAUGUCCUUGUUUCUGGUGUUUUAGUCGCCUUCCAGUGGGUCCCUUAAUGUUUUGCAAGAUAUUGCCCUCUUGAGUAAUGAAAAGCCUUGUAGGCCUCGAAAAUUCCCAUUAGAAGUGUAUGCACACACACAAAGUAUACCUAUGUAUAUAAUUAAAGCACAUUUUACGAGAAAGUGCGUGUAGCGAUGUGACUAACACUCUUGGUAGAUAACAUAGAGAUUUCAAGUUCGAUUCUCAUCAAUGAAAUAACCUGUACCAAUUUAUUUAGAUUUUAUUUUAUUUUUCUUGUACUAUGCCAAGAGGCUAUUGUAACCGAGAAAAGCACAUUUUACUAAUUUAGUAUUUUUUGUCAUUU
Non-coding RNA from Punica granatum (pomegranate), 2029 nucleotides. Lineage: Eukaryota; Viridiplantae; Streptophyta; Magnoliopsida; Myrtales; Lythraceae. The record is from RefSeq and is a predicted model, not a curated record.